CUGGCUGCAGUUACAGUUAUUGAUUCUGCUUCAACAUUAUACAAGGGUGGAGCUGGGAGGUCAAUAGGUCUCCGAGAUCUUCUUUGAAACUCCAGCAUCAGAAGAAGGUGGCGGAAAUACAGUCUGAGGCUGAAAUUUUACCUCUCUUCGUUGUCGGGCGACCUCGGCUGAUUUGGAAGGUGCACACGAAGCGAAGAGUGCAAAGGAAGAAGGGAAAUAAGUUGAAAUCGGAGGAUCCGGUCGAGUAACCUCCAGGGUAAGAAAGCGACCGUGCAUGCUUCCGUUGCUGAGUUAACCUAUAAAUGAGUGCGUGAACAACAUCAAAGUAGUACUUGAUGGUAAUCUGAUCACAAAUAGGGGACUUCCUAUAGUCUUCAAAGUUGCAUUGGCUAUUGUGAGCAAAACUACCAUGAGAGAGAAAGAAGGGUUGCAAAAAGCAUUGUUUAUGAGUACCCUAUUCUAACAUCACAAUUUGGGGAUCAAAUACAAAGUUUAUGAGUACCCAUAUCUAACUCCCCCAAAUCUAAUACAUUCUUGAUUAGAUUUUGUAUCUAUUGUGGUGUUCAAUCAGUAUUCAUAUUUGUUGAGUUAGUCAGAGAGGUUAUGAUAUUUCAGAUGAAGAACGAUACAACGCACUUCCGCACGCACGCGAGCGCGUGUGGGAAGGCUAGUGCUUGUUAUUCAAAUUCCCCUGUUAUUACUCUUUUAAUAGCUAUUUAACCAGUCUCUCUAAGUGUACUUCUGGCCUAUUCUGCUUUCCAAAACUGGGUAGCUUGGUGAAAUUGGGAAUAUUGGUUACGUGUUGGGUACUUGGGUUACAUUGCUUGUAAUCAGAUGUGGUAUUUUUCAUUAAUCUUCCCAGUACAUGAAAACAAUUGGAAAAACAUUUAUAUUUUUUCGAUGUGGAUUUGAAACAACAUUAUUAAGAAUCCAUUUGUCAAUAAAUACUGUUUGUAUUUCUAUUC
Fragaria vesca subsp. vesca is the source of this 965-nucleotide RNA transcript. RefSeq lists it as uncharacterized. The transcript has 2 exons. The record is from RefSeq and is a predicted model, not a curated record. NCBI's taxonomy places the organism in Eukaryota, Viridiplantae, Streptophyta, Magnoliopsida, Rosales, Rosaceae.